GACGAACGCUGGCGGCGUGCUUAACACAUGCAAGUCGAGGAGAACUUUGGAGCUUGCUCCAAAGGGACACUGGCGCACGGGUGAGUAACGCGUAGGCAAUCUGCCUUCAGCGCCGACAUAACAGGCCUAACGGCCUGCUAAUAUCGGAUAUCGCGGAUGUGUGGCAUCACAUGACCGUAAAAGCCUUCGGGCGGCUGAAGAGGAGCCUGCGUCCCAUUAGGUAGUUGGAGGGGUAACGGCCCACCAAGCCUGCGAUGGGUAGCUGGUCUGAGAGGAUGAUCAGCCACAUUGGGACUGAGACACGGCCCAG
RNAcentral lists this ribosomal RNA (310 nucleotides) under uncultured bacterium. Its description in RNAcentral is "bacterial SSU rRNA". It matches the Rfam family "Bacterial small subunit ribosomal RNA", at positions 28 to 334 of the family's 1533-position model. The record is from RNAcentral.